Vidua macroura (Pin-tailed whydah) is the source of this 328-nucleotide long non-coding RNA. RefSeq lists it as uncharacterized. The record is from RefSeq and is a predicted model, not a curated record. Lineage: Eukaryota; Metazoa; Chordata; Aves; Passeriformes; Viduidae. The transcript has 3 exons.
UUGAGGCUUUGUCGCUCAUCUGGGAUAUCCUCCCUUCAAAAUGGCUUCUGGAUUCCCAAAAAAGACACCGACACCUCGUCCUUGGUCCAGGGAAAUGCUGAAGUCUUUUACUCUGCGUCCCUCUAAGUCCCUGUGGGAAAAGUUUUUCAGCAUGAAGAAGAAGAUCGAAGCCAGGAGGAGUAUUCUGCCCAGCAUUAACCCAGUUCUAGACAAGAGUGAGCCUCAUCAGAAGCUGUCGUCAGUUCCCCUGAAGCAGAACUUGUUUCAGAUUUCCCCACCAGAGGUGGUAUUUCAGAACUUUGUCACCCAUGAGGUCUCUGAAAUGGUG